UACGUAGGUUGCAAGCGUUGUCCGGAUUUACUGGGUGUAAAGGGCGUGUAGGCGGAGGAGCAAGUCAGAUGUGAAAUCCCGGGGCUUAACCCCGGAACUGCAUUUGAAACUGUUUCCCUUGAGUAUCGGAGAGGCAAGCGGAAUUCCUAGUGUAGCGGUGAAAUGCGUAGAUAUUAGGAGGAACACCAGUGGCGAAGGCGGCUUGCUGGACGACAACUGACGCUGAGGCGCGAAAGCGUGGGGAGCAAACAGG
RNAcentral lists this ribosomal RNA (253 nucleotides) under uncultured bacterium. RNAcentral's name for it is "partial 16S ribosomal RNA". It matches the Rfam family "Bacterial small subunit ribosomal RNA", at positions 524 to 776 of the family's 1533-position model. The record is from RNAcentral.